Molecule: long non-coding RNA, 315 nt
Filed under: Ficedula albicollis (Collared flycatcher)
Lineage: Eukaryota; Metazoa; Chordata; Aves; Passeriformes; Muscicapidae
Description: lncRNA (ENSFALG00000023557.1)
Source: RNAcentral
CUGUCCACUAAUGCUCACAGAAGUGUGUUCCUGCAAGAGAGGUGGCAGUCCAAGGAGAGUCUGAGUCUCACAAGUGAAAGAGGAGAAAUGUGGAGAAGAGUGGUGUCAUAGGGCCCUUCUGAGGCUGAUAGCUCAACUGAAAUAAAUUGUUUUGUGCAUAGAGGGGCAUUGAUACUCCAUGAUGUUCCCAGGUUCUGUUCAGGAAGCAGGAGACCUACAAAAGAGAAGGGCUAGAAAACCCAUUCCCAGGCUGCAUCAGGAGUCAGUGAAAGAGAAUAAAUUUAAGACAAAUUAAGUGUCACUUGUGUGCACUGA